CCGCACAGCUCCGGGCCGCGCCGACACACGCGAGCAGCCUCCGCGGCGCGGGCGGGCGACCCCGCGGCCAGCUUCAAAUAGAAAUCGCAGACCUUGUUAACAAGAAAACCCGUGAUCAGUUUCACCGACAGGAAGGAGGUCCAGGGAAGCAAGGACACAGGGAGGGAGACUGAAGAAAGCAAGCCUGAAGCCUGUGUGCAGAUGCAAAAUGGCUCUCUUCUGUAGGACCCCUUGUUCUGGUGGCAAGGGAGUAGGGUUGAGGGGUUGCGCAUCAGCAGCCUAUCGUGAGAACAUCCAAGUAGUUACGGAAGAGGUCUACGUGGAGAAGAACAGAAGCCUCCUGCUAAUUGCCACACAGUCAUGAGAGUGAGCUGCCUUUACAAAAUGAGCCUCCCUCUCUGUGAGGGAGGGAGCAAUCUCUGAGCCUCCCUCAAAUGAUUGCUAUCCCCGCCAGCAGAAGGACUCCAGUAGCAAGAAUGAUUCCCAGCAGAAGUGCCCAGCCAUACUGUUGCUGAAUUUCUGUUCUACACAAACUUGUGGCUGCUCAAACCCCAGCCAUUGAGUCCCCAGUCCAGCCAACAGGAAGGAAGAAGAGCAAGAAGAAUGUACCACCUCCUGUAAGGACACUUUUGUGUAUAUGCCAUUGGCCAGAACACAAGCAUAUGGUCACAUCUAAGUUCCAGGGAGGCUGAGGAGUCCUUGUUCUGGGCAGCCAAGUGUCCAGCUAAGAGUCAGAAAUUUAAGGAAAAAGAGAAACAUCAGGGCAAACUAGCAGCAUUUCUAUAGUAUAACCACACCUAUCUUCUUAGCAGACUCCUGUUAUUACCGAAAGUUAGCUAAGCUAGCACCUAGCAGCAAAUCCUGUUUAAUUCCAAUUCCCACUAGCAAAUACUGCUAGUUUGCAGUGUUGGUCAACAUAAGUCACAUGGCCAGCCCAGAUUCAUAAAAAGGGGAAAUAGGCUCUACCUUCUGAUGCAGUGAUUGGCAAAGAGUGCAGAUAAAGCCAGCUGCCUCAUUCCUACAGAUCCAGCCGAUUUCCCCUUUUUAUGUAUCUGUAUUUCCCCUUUUUAUGAAGUCUGUAUUCCUGGGACUAAUUUUGCUGUGAAAGAUCCAAGCUGGCCUGUGGAGAGGAGUCCAUAUAUGGGAGCACCAUCGCACCACACAUGGCAAUCAAGUCUUCUCAGACCUUCUAGCCCAGCCAGACACCAGCUGAAGGCAGCUCAUAGAAUCAUGACCAACUACAUUGAUUGUUGUAUUAAUUUUAGAGUGGAUGUUACACAGCCACAGGUAACUGAAACUAAAAAGGAAAGGUUAUUCUAGGGAGAGGAAGCAGCAUAAGAAAAUAUACAGCGGGGAUGCUUGAGUGGCUCAGUAGGUUUAGCAUCUGUCUAUGGCUCAUGUCACAAUCUUGGGA
Long non-coding RNA from Canis lupus familiaris (dog), 1414 nucleotides. RefSeq lists it as uncharacterized. NCBI's taxonomy places the organism in Eukaryota, Metazoa, Chordata, Mammalia, Carnivora, Canidae. The transcript is spliced from 4 exons. The record is from RefSeq and is a predicted model, not a curated record.